Molecule: ribosomal RNA, 1241 nt
Filed under: Triticum aestivum (bread wheat)
Lineage: Eukaryota; Viridiplantae; Streptophyta; Magnoliopsida; Poales; Poaceae
Description: partial small subunit ribosomal RNA
Source: RNAcentral
GAGACUUCGAUCCAGUUCAUCCCCAAAUCGAUCCAGACCGCAUACGCCGCGAACCCUAGCCACAACCCCACCGCCGCUACCGCGCCCUCCACCACACCACCGCUGCCCCGCCUGCCCCAACCACUCCCCGCUGCUGCUGCAGACUCCGCCCUCCACACCCCACCGCUGCAGACUGCUGCCGCGGUCGACCCCACAUCACAGCGCCGUCGAGGACACGGACGACACCACCAGCGCCGGCCUUCCACGUCGCGGAGCCACUCCACUGGCGACCACCCCCCUUCUCCGCGAGCUUGGUCCACACCGAGCAGGCCUUCUCCAAAGCAUUGAGCGGGGCUGCCUCCUCUACGUCAUCUCCCCCGAGCAGCGGAGCGUCCUCCCUCCCGCGAGCGGCUCUGUCUCCUCAGUACCCUUCCCCUAGGCAGCCACGUCAUGUAUUUCCUUUCACCAGUGUCCUCUUCAAUAGGCUAUUUGGGUGAAAUUGGUCAAGAAUGGACAAGAGUUGGAUGGAUAAAGCUAGAAAUACACAAGCAUAUAUUGACGGGGGCAAGCUCAAGGGCGAUGUAUCUCAUAGCCAUACACAACCAUUUGGAAGUGGAGAAGUCCAUGGCAAAAGCAGUAAUGCGACCACAAGCAAGCUGAGGAGCAUGCCUCCUAUUCGUCCUCCGCAGCAGGCAGUGUUGUGUCGACUACGUCUGGAUAGCAACUCAUCUCCAUCCUCGCCCCAAGCAGUGUCGCCUCACCUCUACUUCCUCGCCUAAGCGGUACCGCCUAUGGUCUCCGCUUCACCGCCAAUGGAGCAUGGUAGCCCAGUGGCAAAAGCUUCUAUGUAUGCAGUUGGAAGUGGAUAAGUGUCAGGCUCUUCCUACAGGAUGUCUACUAGUUCAGUUCUAGUCAUAAACAAAGGCUUCCCAAGGGUACAUAAGUUGAUGGAGUUGUGGAAGAUCUGCAAGCUGCUGGAGGUUUGGAAGACCUACAGUUAAUUUGGUCAAGUGAUAUAUGCCUCGUUUGCUGAACCCAGAGACAUUGGCAAGUUUUCCUAUGCUUAUUUGGUGGUUGUUUUGGUACACAAGCCAUUAUGUGCUCAUUUUGGUUGUGUGACGCAUAUAAAAACAUAUGUACUGAACCUUUUGUAGCACGAGCUCCUUGUAUAUGGUCGUUUCAUACAUGUAUCUAGAAACAUGUGUAUUUGGUCUGGCAUGUGUAAUUGAAUGAAGUUUAAGGUUGAUUGAAGUGUAUGUAUG